GGAUAAGUUCGCUAUACCGUGGGUAAUAUCCCGAUGGUUCUUUGAACCGCAUGGUUCAAACAUAAAAGGUGGCUUCGGCUACCACUUACAGAUGGACUCGCGGCGCAUUAGCUAGUUGGUGAGGUAACGGCUCACCAAGGCAACGAUGCGUAGCCGACCUGAGAGGGUGAUCGGCCACACUGGGACUGAGACACGGCCCAGACUCCUACGGGAGGCAGCAGUAGGGAAUCUUCCGCAAUGGACGAAAGUCUGACGGAGCAACGCCGCGUGAGUGAUGAAGGUUUUCGGAUCGUAAAGCUCUGUUGUUAGGGAAGAACAAGUACCGUUCGAAUAGGGCGGUACCUUGACGGUACCUAACCAGAAAGCCACGGCUAACUACGUGCCAGCAGCCGCGGUAAUACGUAGGUGGCAAGCGUUGUCCGGAAUUAUUGGGCGUAAAGGGCUCGCAGGCGGUUUCUUAAGUCUGAUGUGAAAGCCCCCGGCUCAACCGGGGAGGGUCAUUGGAAACUGGGGAACUUGAGUGCAGAAGAGGAGAGUGGAAUUCCACGUGUAGCGGUGAAAUGCGUAGAGAUGUGGAGGAACACCAGUGGCGAAGGCGACUCUCUGGUCUGUAACUGACGCUGAGGAGCGAAAGCGUGGGGAGCGAACAGGAUUAGAUACCCUGGUAGUCCACGCCGUAAACGAUGAGUGCUAAGUGUUAGGGGGUUUCCGCCCCUUAGUUGCUGCAGCUAACGCAUUAAGCACUCCGCCUGGGGAGUACGGUCGCAAGACUGAAACUCAAAGGAAUUGACGGGGGCCCGCACAAGCGGUGGAGCAUGUGGUUUAAUUCGAAGCAACGCGAAGAACCUUACCAGGUCUUGACAUCCUCUGACAAUCCUAGAGAUAGGACGUCCCCUUCGGGGGCAGAGUGACAGGUGGUGCAUGGUUGUCGUCAGCUCGUGUCGUGAGAUGUUGGGUUAAGUCCCGCAACGAGCGCAACCCUUGAUCUUAGUUGCCAGCAUUCAGUUGGGCACUCUAAGGUGACUGCCGGUGACAAACCGGAGGAAGGUGGGGAUGACGUCAAAUCAUCAUGCCCCUUAUGACCUGGGCUACACACGUGCUACAAUGGACAGAACAAAGGGCAGCGAAACCGCGAGGUUAAGCCAAUCCCACAAAUCUGUUCUCAGUUCGGAUCGCAGUCUGCAACUCGACUGCGUGAAGCUGGAAUAACUAUUAAUCGCGGAUGAGUAUGCCGCGGUGAAUAAUUUCCUGGGUCUUGUACACACGGCCCGUCACACCAGGAGAGUUUGUAAAAGGGGGAAGUUGGUGAGGUAAAAUUUUAGGAGAAAUCCGACGAUUGUGGG
Molecule: ribosomal RNA, 1343 nt
Filed under: Bacillus sp. (in: firmicutes)
Lineage: Bacteria; Bacillati; Bacillota; Bacilli; Caryophanales; Bacillaceae
Description: bacterial SSU rRNA
Rfam family: Bacterial small subunit ribosomal RNA
Source: RNAcentral